Molecule: ribosomal RNA, 433 nt
Filed under: uncultured bacterium
Lineage: Bacteria
Description: partial 16S ribosomal RNA
Rfam family: Bacterial small subunit ribosomal RNA
Source: RNAcentral
AACGAACGCUGGCGGCAUGCCUAACACAUGCAAGUCGAACGAGACCUUCGGGUCUAGUGGCGCACGGGUGCGUAACGCGUGGGAACCUGCCUUUAGGUUCGGAAUACCUCAGAGAAAUUUGAGCUAAUACCGGAUGAUGUCUUCGGACCAAAGAUUUAUCGCCUUUAGAUGGGCCCGCGUUGGAUUAGCUGGUUGGUGGGGUAAAGGCCUACCAAGGCGACGAUCCAUAGCUGGUCGGAGAGGAUGAUCAGCCACACUGGGACUGAGACACGGCCCAGACUCCUACGGGAGGCAGCAGUGGGGAAUAUUGGACAAUGGGCGAAAGCCUGAUACAGCAAUGCCGCGUGAGUGAUGAAGGCCUUAGGGUUGUAAAGCUCUUUUACCCGAGAUGAUAAUGACAGUAACGGGAGAAUAAGCUCCGGCUAACUCCGUG